GGUAGAUUAUAUACAAAAUGGACACCAAACAUGUUUCUUAUAUGUUUCAUGACACCCGUUUGCAGAUUUACCUGCUGCUUCUGUCUCUUAUGUAAUCAAUCAGGUUUUGAUCAGCUUUCACUUGGCACCUCCUUUUGAUUCAAUCUACCGUACAAAGAAUCUUGGGCAUCCACGUCCUCUAUUCGCCAGUUACGUUCAUUGCUCUUCGGGUCUGCCGUUGAGAUUUGUAAGAUCUUGUUAUGGAAUUUCGUUAAAGUCCGGCGGUGGCCAAUGCUUAU
RNAcentral lists this long non-coding RNA (278 nucleotides) under Arabidopsis thaliana (thale cress). RNAcentral's name for it is "ncRNA (AT1G54355)". The record is from RNAcentral. Lineage: Eukaryota; Viridiplantae; Streptophyta; Magnoliopsida; Brassicales; Brassicaceae.